RNAcentral lists this long non-coding RNA (407 nucleotides) under Olea europaea (common olive). RNAcentral's name for it is "long non-coding RNA (OEUR_LNC003294)". Lineage: Eukaryota; Viridiplantae; Streptophyta; Magnoliopsida; Lamiales; Oleaceae. The record is from RNAcentral.
ACAAAUAAAAUAGGGUGGGCCCCAUAACAUACGAGGGGCUGUCAAAGUUGAUGUACACUCUUCACCAAGCAUAGAUCGUAUGUUGAUAUUUGUUAUUGAACUUGAUUCCUGUAGCUCUCAUUUUGCAGUAUAAAUUGCCAUUUUCUCUUGAAGAUUUGGUCAAGCCAUUUCAAACGUUAGUAAAGAUGAACAAAUUUAUUGAUUUUCGAAAGAAACUAAGUCAUACAACUCAUUUCUUGGUAUUCAGUUGUUUAAGAACAACUUUAUUGAUUUUCAGCUGUUUAAGAACAAAAUUACUAUGCUCAUACAACUAUUUUCUUGGUAUUCAGUCAUACGUUCUUCAUAUUCUUCUCUUUCGAGUAAAUCCAUUUUGGAUCGAAGUUUUCUAUUUUAUCAUAGUUUCCUUA